UACGUAGGAGGCAAGCGUUGUCCGGAAUCACUGGGCGUAAAGCGCGUGUAGGCGGAGCGGUAAGUCGGCUGUGAAAGUCCAGGGCUCAACCCUGGGAUGCCGGUCGAUACUGCCGGACUAGAGUUCGGAAGAGGCGAGUGGAAUUCCCGGUGUAGCGGUGAAAUGCGCAGAUAUCGGGAGGAACACCUAUGGCGAAGGCAGCUCGCUGGGACGUUACUGACGCUGAGACGCGAAAGCGUGGGGAGCAAACAGG
This 253-nucleotide ribosomal RNA is filed under the name uncultured bacterium. RNAcentral describes it as "partial 16S ribosomal RNA". It matches the Rfam family "Bacterial small subunit ribosomal RNA", at positions 524 to 776 of the family's 1533-position model. The record is from RNAcentral.